UGAGUGUAGCUCAGUGGUAGGGUGAUUGCCUAGCAUGCCUCUGGCUUUGGGGUCCAUCCCCAGCACUGCAA
Molecule: transfer RNA, 71 nt
Filed under: Marmota monax (woodchuck)
Lineage: Eukaryota; Metazoa; Chordata; Mammalia; Rodentia; Sciuridae
Description: tRNA.Ala
Source: RNAcentral